Molecule: ribosomal RNA, 393 nt
Filed under: uncultured bacterium
Lineage: Bacteria
Description: partial 16S ribosomal RNA
Rfam family: Bacterial small subunit ribosomal RNA
Source: RNAcentral
AUACGGAGGAUCCGAGCGUUAUCCGGAUUUAUUGGGUUUAAAGGGUGCGCAGGCGGGAGAUUAAGUCGGCGGUGAAAUUUUUCAGCUCAACUGUAAAAGUGCCUUCGAAACUGGUUUCCUUGAGUGUAGAUGAAGUAGGCGGAAUUUGUGGUGUAGCGGUGAAAUGCAUAGAUAUCACGAGGAACUCCGAUUGCGCAGGCAGCUUACUAAACUACUACUGACGCUCAGGCACGAAGGCGUGGGGAUCAAACAGGAUUAGAUACCCUGGUAGUCCACGCAGUAAACGAUGAUUACUAGCUGUUUGCGAUACAAUGUAAGCGGCUGAGCGAAAGCGUUAAGUAAUCCACCUGGGGAGUACGUUCGCAAGAAUGAAACUCAAAUGAAUUGACGGGG